Long non-coding RNA from Neofelis nebulosa (Clouded leopard), 5393 nucleotides. RefSeq lists it as uncharacterized. The transcript is spliced from 3 exons. The record is from RefSeq and is a predicted model, not a curated record. NCBI's taxonomy places the organism in Eukaryota, Metazoa, Chordata, Mammalia, Carnivora, Felidae.
UAUACAUGUAUAUAUAUGUAUAUAUACACACACACAUAUAUAUACAUGUAUAUAUGUUUACGUAUACAUAAUAUAUAUGUUUGUUUAUGUAUGUGUAUAUAUACACAUGUAUGUUAAUGUAAGAAAGGAGAAUGCCUCCUGUAAUGCUUUUCAUUAUGAGAAAGGUGCUAUGAUGGCUAUGAUGAGUCACCCUAAAGUUGUAAAGCAUCAUUUUAGAGGAAAUAAAGAUCUCUCUUCCUGUGCUUGCCCUUCAGGAUCUCUGGAUGGUGUCAAAGCCUUCUACCCACUUCCGGAAAAAGAACUAGUCAGCUAGUAAAAUCUGGGCCUAGUGAUAUUCCUUCUCUUCCCUCUGAUACUUGGAAAUAGUAUCAGAACUCACUAAAUAGGAAGUCACCAGUGUGUUCAGGUAUGUGAGAUCGUAUCUUGCCUUGGCAGCCAGGAAGUGAAUUAGUAGCACCAUGUAUUAUUUUUCUCUGCAGAAAGUGAUUUAAGCUGUUACGAAAUUUGAGAUCAUGUAAGGUUUCGAAGUGAUGGUCAUCUUACAUGGAGAUAAAUGUCCUUCCAUUUAGGACUGCUUUUGAUGGGUUGAGAAGUGUUAGGUAUCAAUUACAGUGAUAAGGAUAAUGCAUUAAUGUAUAUGGGAGCUCUCCCUCAGAUGCUCCAACCGAUGAAACGUGGAUAGUUCAGAGACUCCUCUGCUAUUUUUGGACUGUAGCAACAUCUUAAUGUCUAUUUUUUCCCCUUGAAAUCUAGGCCAUAAAGGCACAUUGGUACAGUGUGUGCAUAUGUGUGUGUGAGCACACGUGCUGCUUUUAUUCUCUACUUUGAAUUCACUUUGCAGGGUACUAGGUUAGAAUUUUCCUAACAACCUAGUCCACAACUACCAAAGAAAGACAUUUUCAGCUUGAGUGAAAAGUUUCUUUUAUUUCAUCUGUUCACAACAUUCUGAAGAUUUGGAGCGUGUAUUUGUUAAAUACCUUAUUAUCUGUUAAUAUAUUCCAUCAAAUAUUGUUAACAGUUUCUAAACAAGUACCCUUUUAUAUACAACCUUAAAUCUAUGGUAUAUCCUUUUUUUUUUUUUUUUUUCUUUUCUAUACCUUCAGAAUGAUUGUUCCCUUCUUUGAAAUAUGAACUCCCAGGGGCGCCUGGGGGUGCUCACUCAGUUAGGCUUCCAACUCUUGAUCUCAGCUCAGGUCUUGAUUUCAGGGUCAUGGGUUCGGGUCCCACAUUGGGCUCUGGGCUGGGAAGGAGGCCUACUUAAAAAAAAAAAAAAAAAAGACAUAGGAACUCCCAGAUAAAAGCCAAUUUGUUUUUACAUAUGACUCUCUUCCUCAGCAGAUUUUUUGUCCUCUAUUAGAGGGCAAAGUCCUUUUAGAAUGUAAAACUUGUAUCAAGUUUAGCUACCUCUUAAAUGACUUUCUGUCGCAGACUUCCGUAACAGUAAUUAGAAAAGACAACACAUUUGAAAAUCAAAAGUAUUCAUUUGUGAGUCACAUGAAAACAUAGCUUGCAGUGGAUAGGCAUGGUGGUGGCUUUUAUUUGGUUGGUUAAGAAUCCUAUGUGUUCAUUCCCAUUAGAUGAGGUUCAGGAGCAAUAAACUUAAUACUUAAAUUUUGGAAUCAUUGGCAAGUAUUUCUGCACAAUGAUCAAAGCUUGAAUGGAGGUUAAGCAAAAGAAUACCGAGUACAAAAUAGGUAUGUAUUUAAAAGUCAGCUGAUACAUUUAUAUUCAUUUAUUAUUCAUAUGGUGUCUGUCUCCAUAAAGGAUUUCACGUGGUUUACAAUAAAAGACAGACAUGAGACACAAUCUUUAGAAAUAGGGCAAGAGGACAAGAGCUAAAUAGAGGAGUAGCUAUUAACUCAUUACCUCUAACAUAUGGAAUAGUUAUAAAACCUAAGCUAUGGGUUUUGAACAAAACUCAUACAUGAAAAUGCAACAGAUUUCAUGGCUCUUAUUCACAAAGUUAUUAUCUUAUUAGGAGAUACAAGCCUUUUAUUUAUCUCAAUAUUAAGAGUAACAAGGUGGAUUUUUAUACUAGGCACACUAAACAACGUCUUUUUGUAGUGACGGUUAUUUUAAAAUGCAGAAAUUUGUUCCCAAAUGGUAGGAUGUAAACUCUGCAGGUGGAAGAAAUAGAGCAAGGGAAUUUUCCACUGGCUGUCCACUUUUUGGCUCUUCCUUGAGGCACUUUCUUGUUUUGUUUUUGUUACUAAUGAUGAAUGUGAAAUGUUUGCAGUAUCUCCACAUGCUCAAGAAUUAUUAGAAGCAUUAAUUACUACAGGACAGACUUGUAUUUUUCUGGUAUUAAAUCAGUUCUCUUCUGAUAUAAAUAUCAUUGAGAACAUUAGCUUUUCUUACCUUUUCCUAUUGUUGUUACAGGUAAUGAAAGAAUUGUCUUGUUUUUAGUGUUUCAUGUCCGGAAGAAUACGGGUUUUAAUGAAUCACAGGCGUUUGGAAGAUGUGUACUCCCAUAUUUCACCCUCAGUGCUUCAUGGGAAGUGUUGCUUAAGUCCUAAGUAAAACAAGCUUUACACCGGUGUCCCACUAACUGGGAAUUUGCUAGGAGGGUAUUUUACCUAUACCAAAUUUCCUAAGCUCUAAAUUCCCAAACGUUAGAUCUAGUCAUCCUUGAUCCCUCUCUUUCCUUCAUGGCCCACAUCCAGUCCAUUUGAAAAAUCAUCAGGAUGCACUCUUUAAAGUAUCUCCAGAUUUUGCCUACUCACCACUUCCUCUACUACCAUGCUGGCCAUGCUACCAUCUUCCCUUGCCUGGACUACAGCCUUACUUUCCCAAUUGGUCUUCCUGCUCCUACAGCUUCCCCACAAACUAUAUCUAUCCUCUCUACAUAGCUAGGCUGACCCGUUAAAAUGUAAGGCAGAUAAUGUCAUUUUCCAGUGUUUUCUAAUGUCACGCAGAGUUGAGAUUACCGUGGCCUUCACCAUGUGAUCCAUUUCCUUUCUACCUCCCUGACAUGACCUUUCUCCUCUCCUGUCCAAACACUGGUCUCCUUGUUUUUUCAACAUACCAGUAAACUUCCCCUUCACAGGGGAAGUUUGUACUUUCUGUUGUCACUUGAGUCUGGACAUUAUUGAGCUAUUCCAGGUUCCGUGAUUCACUCUCUCACAUCCUUUGUACCAAUGUGACCUAAUUCAGAAAGUCUACCCCUGACCAUGUAAAAGACCAUUCGAUUCCAUCAUGCCCCCCUCCAACUGACUUUUCUCCAUUGUACUUACAUAACAUACAUUUAUUCACUUGUACUCUGUUUCCCUUCCCUAGCAGCAUAUGAGCUCCUUGGGGAAGGUGUUAGAUUUGUUCCCUGAUGUUUGCCCAGUGCCUAGAAGUUCCUUUUUUAUAAACAGAUGCUCAAGAAAUAUUUCUAGAAUGAAUAAAGUGAUCAUCUCAUAUUUGAGAGCCCAACUUAAAAUCUGAGACUACUAGAAUGUAUUAGCACGUAAGGUGAUUUUAGAGCAGUGGUUACCAGGGACUCAGAAAUUUGUGCUUAAAAAUAAAACCAAGAUAAUUUUGAUAUAGAUCGAACGAAGAUUUUAUGAGGCUGAGGCUUAAUAAUUUGCAUUUUUAACAGUCUCCACAGGUGAUUCCUUUGCAGGUAUAAGAUUUAGUACCAUUAUUAUAGAAAUUAGAGUAUGGGAUCUAUAUCUGCUUGCUUCAGACAUUGUAUUACCUGCCUGAUCCUGAAAGCAUUUGAGCUGAAGUACCUUGAUAUGGAAUCUGUACCAGUCAGUGCUUCUUAACCUUGGCUUCAUAUCGUAAUCAUCUGGGGAAAGAGCUCUCAAGGCAUCAGAUCCUUGGAUGUCCCCCCUCAGCUGUUGUUUAAGACUGCAUGGAUUCAAUCUCCGGCUGCACUUCUCACUGGCUUUUUGACCUUAGGCAGCCACAUGACAGCCAUGAAGAAAGUGACACUUCGCUACAGAUAACAUGCCGGCAUAUGGGCGGAUGGAUCCCUGUGUGACUGGAAUGGAUUUAUCAACUGAAGGAACCAGAGCACCAAAGUGUUAAGCGACUUUGCGUAGCUAAUGGUCCUGGAGCCUGGGAAAAACAGAUCGCAGAGGUCAGCCUCCCUGGAUACAAAGCAGAAGGGGGUACAAGAACAGGCAUGACCGGAGCAGGCACAGAGGGCAUGCAAUUCAAGUGGUUUCCAAAAGUGGGGGUGGAUUCGCACUGGGCAGCGCACGCUGUUUCUCCUGUGAGUCCCUUACCCUCACUGUUCUCAUCCUGUGGGACAGCAAAAGGGAGGCGUGCAGCAAUGAUGUCAGAGCCCCUUGGAGCUUAAAUCAAUGACACUUAUCUCACUGAUAAUACUGCGUCCUGUCAAACAAACCAAGCCACAUAGAAAGUGACUUAUUUUCCAUAGCUUCUUUUUGGAAAAAAACGUACAUUGCCUCUUCACCAUGUACCUUAGCAACAGCCACAGAGAAUACUUUCGGACUAUGGUAGUACAAAAGAAUUCCCUAAUUAAGAAAUGUAUUUAUUCAAAAAAAAGUGUUUAUUUAUUCUCUUAGUUUUUUAAUUUAUAGUUUUAUUUAUGUGUGGCACAUGGAACAAUUGAACUAAAAUGAAAAUACAGAAAACAGUUAAAUGAUGCUGAGUUUGGAACUUGAAAGUUGGAUAUCAAUCAAAGGGAAAAAAAGCCAGUAAACUACAUUAGUUGCACUGCUAUGCAAAAAUAAUUAAAUCAACCUCAAGGAAACCAUGCUAUGACAUGUACAAAAACUACAUUAAUAGCAAUGGCAUAGGACAGUCUGCUGUUCAGGAAAAGAUUCAGUAUAGACAUCAAUUACAUGCAAGAUGCUUCAUGACUUGACAGCAAAUAUUUUCUGCCUGUUUUCCUGCUACUUUCUCAUAUAUAUCCCCUACAUCAUUUUGCAGUACCUUAGGUUUUGAAUCAAGCAGCAUUCUUUAAUAUAGAGGUAAUGCCUUUAAGUUUCUAAAGAAUGUUCAAGUAUUUUAGAAGGGAAAAGGAACAUUUUUCAAUACAAGAUGACAUGGUGUAUAAGUGUGUAUUAGAAUAUGUUAACCAACUGAUCAAGAAAUAUUUAUAGGGAGCCAACAUAUCCAAAGCCUUUGUGAAAGGCACUGGACAAUAUAAAUAGGUGUAAGACUAUAGAUGUUUAUUGGGGAAGCUUACAGCCUAUUUGUGGAGCAAGGUAUGGGACUGACAAGUAGUGCAAAGAAAGUACUGUAGAAAUUCCUGUGUCAGAUAAAACCAGAUCUGAUCACACUUCUUAGGCUUAGAAACUGUUAGUCAAUAGGAUUUGAGUUCAGCCUCCUUAAAAAGACAUACAAGGGACUUCAUCAGUGGUUACAAAUAUUUUCUCCAUCUUUGCCAGUUACCUUUACCACCUCACAUUUACCCUUCUCUGCACUAGGUUUCU